This 490-nucleotide ribosomal RNA is filed under the name uncultured bacterium. RNAcentral's name for it is "partial 16S ribosomal RNA". It matches the Rfam family "Bacterial small subunit ribosomal RNA", at positions 30 to 507 of the family's 1533-position model. The record is from RNAcentral.
AUUGAACGCUGGCGGCAGGCCUAACAUAUGCAAGUCGAACGGUAACAGGAAGCAGCUUGCUGCUUCGCUGACGAGUGGCGGACGGGUGAGUAAUGUCUGGGAAACUGCCUGAUGGAGGGGGAUAACUACUGGAAACGGUAGCUAAUACCGCAUAACGUCGCAAGACCAAAGAGGGGGACCUUAGGGCCUCUUGCCAUCGGAUGUGCCCAGAUGGGAUUAGCUAGUAGGUGGGGUAACGGCUCACCUAGGCGACGAUCCCUAGCUGGUCUGAGAGGAUGACCAGCCACACUGGAACUGAGACACGGUCCAGACUCCUACGGGAGGCAGCAGUGGGGAAUAUUGCACAAUGGGCGCAAGCCUGAUGCAGCCAUGCCACGUGUAUGAAGAAGGCCUUCGGGUUGUAAAGUACUUUCAGCGGGGAGGAAGGGAGUAAAGUUAAUACCUUUGCUCAUUGACGUUACCCGCAGAAGAAGCACCGGCUAACUCCGUG